UACGUAGGGGGCAAGCGUUGUCCGGAUUUAUUGGGCGUAAAGAGCGUGUAGGCGGCCACACAGGUCUGCUGUGAAAACUCGAGGCUCAACCUCGAGCUGUCGGUGGAAACCGUGUGGCUAGAGUCCGGAAGAGGAGAGUGGAAUUCCCGGUGUAGCGGUGAAAUGCGCAGAUAUCGGGAAGAACGACCCGUGGCGAAGGCGGCUCUCUGGGGACGGUACUGACGCUGAGACGGCGAAAAGCGUGGGGAGCGAACAGG
Molecule: ribosomal RNA, 257 nt
Filed under: uncultured bacterium
Lineage: Bacteria
Description: partial 16S ribosomal RNA
Rfam family: Bacterial small subunit ribosomal RNA
Source: RNAcentral